Molecule: unclassified non-coding RNA, 205 nt
Filed under: Hevea brasiliensis (rubber tree)
Lineage: Eukaryota; Viridiplantae; Streptophyta; Magnoliopsida; Malpighiales; Euphorbiaceae
Source: RNAcentral
CUGCUGUCUCUCUCUCUCUCUCUCUCUCUAGAAUUUUCUCCUUCUGCUUCUUCUUCUUCCCUACAGAGAGAGGAGGGGAAGAGAAGGCCGAAGAUGUCAAGAAGCGAAUUGAUUCAUAGUUUUUAGAGAGAGAGAGCUUUGUUGCGUGGCGUUAUCCCACUUCUCACCCAAAAAGAAAAGGAAAGGAAGGGAGGGACAAUAUUUU